GCUUACGGCCACACCUCCCUGAGCACGCCGAUCUCGUCUGAUCUCGGAAGCUAAGCAGGUCGGGCCCCUGUUUAGUACUUGGAUGGGAUACCGCCUGGAAUACCAGGUGCUGUAAUCC
Molecule: ribosomal RNA, 118 nt
Filed under: Esox lucius (northern pike)
Lineage: Eukaryota; Metazoa; Chordata; Actinopteri; Esociformes; Esocidae
Source: RNAcentral